ACACAUGCAAGUCGAGGGGAAACGACAUCGAAAGCUUGCUUUUGAUGGGCGUCGACCGGCGCACGGGUGAGUAACGCGUAUCCAACCUGCCCACCACUUGGGGAUAACCUUGCGAAAGUAAGACUAAUACCCAAUGACGUCUCUAGAAGACAUCUGAAGGAGAUUAAAGAUUUAUCGGUGAUGGAUGGGGAUGCGUCUGAUUAGCUUGUUGGCGGGGUAACGGCCCACCAAGGCGACGAUCAGUAGGGGUUCUGAGAGGAAGGUCCCCCACAUUGGAACUGAGACACGGUCCAAACUCCUACGGGAGGCAGCAGUGAGGAAUAUUGGUCAAUGGACGAGAGUCUGAACCAGCCAAGUAGCGUGCAGGAUGACGGCCCUAUGGGUUGUAAACUGCUUUUAUAAGGGAAUAAAGUGAGAGUCGUGACUCUUUUUGCAUGUACCUUAUGAAUAAGGACCGGCUAAUUCCGUGCCAGCAGCCGCGGUAAUACGGAAGGUCCGGGCGUUAUCCGGAUUUAUUGGGUUUAAAGGGAGCGUAGGCCGGAGAUUAAGCGUGUUGUGAAAUGUAGAUGCUCAACAUCUGAACUGCAGCGCGAACUGGUUUCCUUGAGUACGCACAAAGUGGGCGGAAUUCGUGGUGUAGCGGUGAAAUGCUUAGAUAUCACGAAGAACUCCGAUUGCGAAGGCAGCUCACUGGAGCGCAACUGACGCUGAAGCUCGAAAGUGCGGGUAUCGAACAGGAUUAGAUACCCUGGUAGUCCGCACGGUAAACGAUGGAUGCCCGCUGUUGGUCUGAAUAGGUCAGCGGCCAAGCGAAAGCAUUAAGCAUCCCACCUGGGGAGUACGCCGGCA
RNAcentral lists this ribosomal RNA (849 nucleotides) under uncultured bacterium. RNAcentral's name for it is "bacterial SSU rRNA". It matches the Rfam family "Bacterial small subunit ribosomal RNA", at positions 51 to 890 of the family's 1533-position model. The record is from RNAcentral.